CCUCAGUUAGCUCCUUCAUCCCGAGUUCUGGACCAGCAAAUUGAAAGUAAUGAAGCUGAGGAGAAGAAGGGCAGGAAAGGGUGAAAGAGUUGGGAACUUGAAGGCUCAUGCAUAGAACCAGGAAAAGCAACGGAAUGAGAACAGCAGAGGCACGGACCGGGAUGGGAAACAUCAAGAAGCCACAGCCCUCUCCUGAAAGAGGCACAGGCACUUGGGUCGUAAGGGUCUUCAUGAAGAGAAGCCAUCAGGGAAAUGCAAUCAAAACUACGCUGAGAUUUGGACUUCCACCAGUCAAGAAAGCCAACAACAAAAGCUGGAGAGCUGGGAGCGAAGGGCUUGUAUACUUCCGGUGUGAAUGUCAAUUAGUGCAAACACAGUGAGAACAGCACGGAGACUCCUCAAACAGCUAAUAGUCCCAGUGCUUCGGAGCCAGAGACAGAAAGAUCAUGAGUUUGAGGUAAGCCUGGGCUAUACAGCAAUUUUCCAGGAUAGCCUCGAAUAAAUAUUAAGACUAUAUCUUG
This 521-nucleotide long non-coding RNA is filed under the name Rattus norvegicus (Norway rat). RNAcentral describes it as "long non-coding RNA NONRATT028388". Lineage: Eukaryota; Metazoa; Chordata; Mammalia; Rodentia; Muridae. The record is from RNAcentral.